Molecule: ribosomal RNA, 253 nt
Filed under: uncultured bacterium
Lineage: Bacteria
Description: partial 16S ribosomal RNA
Rfam family: Bacterial small subunit ribosomal RNA
Source: RNAcentral
UACGUAGGUGGCAAGCGUUGUCCGGAUUUACUGGGCGUAAAGAGCGCGCAGGCGGUCGUGCAAGUCGCGUGUGAAAGCCCCCGGCUCAACUGGGGAGGGUCACGCGAUACUGUUCGACUCGAAGGCAGGAGAGGGAAGCGGAAUUCCCGGUGUAGUGGUGAAAUGCGUAGAUAUCGGGAGGAACACCAGUGGCGAAGGCGGCUUCCUGGCCUGUUCUUGACGCUGAGGCGCGAAAGCUAGGCUAGCAAACGGG